This 2913-nucleotide ribosomal RNA is filed under the name Klebsiella pneumoniae. RNAcentral describes it as "23S ribosomal RNA". It matches the Rfam family "Bacterial large subunit ribosomal RNA". The record is from RNAcentral. Lineage: Bacteria; Pseudomonadati; Pseudomonadota; Gammaproteobacteria; Enterobacterales; Enterobacteriaceae.
GGGUUGUGAGGUUAAGCGACUAAGCGUACACGGUGGAUGCCCUGGCAGUCAGAGGCGAUGAAGGACGUGCUAAUCUGCGAAAAGCGUCGGUAAGGUGAUAUGAACCGUUAUAACCGGCGAUGUCCGAAUGGGGAAACCCAGUGCAAUUCGUUGCACUAUCGUUAACUGAAUACAUAGGUUAACGAGGCGAACCGGGGGAACUGAAACAUCUAAGUACCCGAGGAAAAGAAAUCAACCGAGAUUCCCCCAGUAGCGGCGAGCGAACGGGGAGCAGCCCAGAGUCUGAAUCAGCUUGUGUGUUAGUGGAACGGUCUGGAAAGUCCGACGGUACAGGGUGAUAGUCCCGUACACCAAAAUGCACAGGCUGUGAACUCGAAGAGUAGGGCGGGACACGUGGUAUCCUGUCUGAAUAUGGGGGGACCAUCCUCCAAGGCUAAAUACUCCUGACUGACCGAUAGUGAACCAGUACCGUGAGGGAAAGGCGAAAAGAACCCCGGCGAGGGGAGUGAAAAAGAACCUGAAACCGUGUACGUACAAGCAGUGGGAGCACCUUCGGGUGUGACUGCGUACCUUUUGUAUAAUGGGUCAGCGACUUAUAUUCUGUAGCAAGGUUAACCGUAUAGGGGAGCCGCAGGGAAACCGAGUCUUAACUGGGCGUUAAGUUGCAGGGUAUAGACCCGAAACCCGGUGAUCUAGCCAUGGGCAGGUUGAAGGUUGGGUAACACUAACUGGAGGACCGAACCGACUAAUGUUGAAAAAUUAGCGGAUGACUUGUGGCUGGGGUGAAAGGCCAAUCAAACCGGGAGAUAGCUGGUUCUCCCGAAAGCUAUUUAGGUAGCGCCUCGUGAAUUCAUCUUCGGGGGUAGAGCACUGUUUCGGCUAGGGGGUCAUCCCGACUUACCAACCCGAUGCAAACUACGAAUACCGAAGAAUGUUAUCACGGGAGACACACGGCGGGUGCUAACGUCCGUCGUGAAGAGAAACAACCCAGACCGCCAGCUAAGGUCCCAAAGUCAUGGUUAAGUGGGAAACGAUGUGGGAAGGCACAGACAGCCAGGAUGUUGGCUUAGAAGCAGCCAUCAUUUAAAGAAAGCGUAAUAGCUCACUGGUCGAGUCGGCCUGCGCGGAAGAUGUAACGGGGCUAAACCAUGCACCGAAGCUGCGGCAGCGACACUAUGUGUUGUUGGGUAGGGAGCGUUCUGUAAGCCUGCGAAGGUGACCUGUGAGGGUUGCUGGAGGUAUCAGAAGUGCGAAUGCUGACAUAAGUAACGAUAAAGCGGGUGAAAAGCCCGCUCGCCGGAAGACCAAGGGUUCCUGUCCAACGUUAAUCGGGGCAGGGUGAGUCGACCCCUAAGGCGAGGCCGAAAGGCGUAGUCGAUGGGAAACAGGUUAAUAUUCCUGUACUUGGUGUUACUGCGAAGGGGGGACGGAGAAGGCUAUGUUAGCCGGGCGACGGUUGUCCCGGUUUAAGCAUGUAGGCUGGUUAUCCAGGCAAAUCCGGAUAAUCAAGGCUGAGGUGUGAUGACGAGGUACUACGGUGCUGAAGUAACAAAUGCCCUGCUUCCAGGAAAAGCCUCUAAGCAUCAGGUAACAUCAAAUCGUACCCCAAACCGACACAGGUGGUCAGGUAGAGAAUACCAAGGCGCUUGAGAGAACUCGGGUGAAGGAACUAGGCAAAAUGGUGCCGUAACUUCGGGAGAAGGCACGCUGGUGUGUAGGUGAAGUCCCUGCGGAUGGAGCUGAGACCAGUCGAAGAUACCAGCUGGCUGCAACUGUUUAUUAAAACACAGCACUGUGCAAACACGAAAGUGGACGUAUACGGUGUGACGCCUGCCCGGUGCCGGAAGGUUAAUUGAUGGGGUUAUCCGUAAGGAGAAGCUCUUGAUCGAAGCCCGGUAAACGGCGGCCGUAACUAUAACGGUCCUAAGGUAGCGAAAUUCCUUGUCGGGUAAGUUCCGACCUGCACGAAUGGCGUAAUGAUGGCGGGCUGUCUCCACCGAGACUCAGUGAAAUUGAACUCGCUGUGAAGAUGCAGUGUACCCGCGGCAAGACGGAAAGACCCCGUGAACCUUUACUAUAGCUUGACACUGAACAUUGAGCCUUGAUGUGUAGGAUAGGUGGGAGGCUUUGAAGCGUGGACGCCAGUCUGCGUGGAGCCAACCUUGAAAUACCACCCUUUAAUGUUUGAUGUUCUAACGUUGGCCCCUUAUCGGGGUUGCGGACAGUGUCUGGUGGGUAGUUUGACUGGGGCGGUCUCCUCCCAAAGCGUAACGGAGGAGCACGAAGGUUAGCUAAUCCUGGUCGGACAUCAGGAGGUUAGUGCAAUGGCAUAAGCUAGCUUGACUGCGAGCGUGACGGCGCGAGCAGGUGCGAAAGCAGGUCAUAGUGAUCCGGUGGUUCUGAAUGGAAGGGCCAUCGCUCAACGGAUAAAAGGUACUCCGGGGAUAACAGGCUGAUACCGCCCAAGAGUUCAUAUCGACGGCGGUGUUUGGCACCUCGAUGUCGGCUCAUCACAUCCUGGGGCUGAAGUAGGUCCCAAGGGUAUGGCUGUUCGCCAUUUAAAGUGGUACGCGAGCUGGGUUUAGAACGUCGUGAGACAGUUCGGUCCCUAUCUGCCGUGGGCGCUGGAGAAUUGAGGAGGGCUGCUCCUAGUACGAGAGGACCGGAGUGGACGCAUCACUGGUGUUCGGGUUGUCAUGCCAAUGGCACUGCCCGGUAGCUAAAUGCGGAAGAGAUAAGUGCUGAAAGCAUCUAAGCACGAAACUUGCCCCGAGAUGAGUUCUCCCUGAGACUUUAAGUCUCCUGAAGGAACGUUAAAGACGAUGACGUUGAUAGGCCGGGUGUGUAAGCGCAGCGAUGCGUUGAGCUAACCGGUACUAAUGAACCGUGAGGCUUAACCUUACAACGCCGAAG